GAUGAACGCUGGCGGCGUGCCUAAUACAUGCAAGUCGAGCGAACAGACGAUGAGCUUGCUCCUCUGACGUUAGCGGCGGACGGGUGAGUAACACGUGGAUAACCUUCCUAUAAGACUGGGAUAACUUCGGGAAACCGGAGCUACUACCGGAUAAUAUAUUGAACCGCAUGGUUCAAUAGUGAAAGACGGUUUUGCUGUCACUUAUAGCUGGUUCCGCGCCGCAUUAGCUAGGUGGUAAGGUAACGGCUUGACAAGGCAACGAUGCGUAUCCGACCUGAGAGGGUUAUCCGCCACACUUGAACUGGGAAACGGUCCAGACUCCCACGGGAAGCAGGAGUAGGGAAACUUCCGCAAUGGGCGGCAGCCUGACGGAGCAACGCCGGGUGAGUUAUGAAAGUCUUCGGAGUGUAAAACUCUGUUAUUAGGGAAGAACAAAUGUGUAAGUAACUAUGCACGUCUUUACGGUACCUAAUCAGAAAGCCACGGCUAACUACGUG
Molecule: ribosomal RNA, 497 nt
Filed under: uncultured bacterium
Lineage: Bacteria
Description: partial 16S ribosomal RNA
Rfam family: Bacterial small subunit ribosomal RNA
Source: RNAcentral